GAUGAACGCUGGCGGCGUGCCUAAUACAUGCAAGUCGAGCGAACGGACGAGAAGCUUGCUUCUCUGAUGUUAGCGGCGGACGGGUGAGUAACACGUGGAUAACCUACCUAUAAGACUGGGAUAACUUCGGGAAACCGGAGCUAAUACCGGAUGAUAUUUUGAACCGCAUGGUUCAAAAGUGAAAGACGGUCUUGCUGCCACUUAUAGAUGGAUCCGCGCUGCAUUAGCUAGUUGGUAAGGUGACGGCUUACCAAGGCAACGAUGCAUAGCCGACCUGAGAGGGUGAUCGGCCACACUGGAACUGAGACACGGUCCAGACUCCUACGGGAGGCAGCAGUAGGGAAUCUUCCGCAAUGGGCGAAAGCCUGACGGAGCAACGCCGCGUGAGUGAUGAAGGUCUUCGGAUCGUAAAACUCUGUUAUUAGGGAAGAACAUAUGUGUAAGUAACUGUGCACAUCUUGACGGUACCUAAUCAGAAAGCCACGGCUAACUACGUG
RNAcentral lists this ribosomal RNA (497 nucleotides) under uncultured bacterium. RNAcentral's name for it is "partial 16S ribosomal RNA". It matches the Rfam family "Bacterial small subunit ribosomal RNA", at positions 28 to 507 of the family's 1533-position model. The record is from RNAcentral.